Molecule: unclassified non-coding RNA, 347 nt
Filed under: soil metagenome
Description: partial contains 5.8S ribosomal RNA, internal transcribed spacer 2, and large subunit ribosomal RNA
Rfam family: 5.8S ribosomal RNA (bases 1-120)
Source: RNAcentral
GAUGAAGAACGUAGUGAAAUGCGAUAAUUAAUGUGAAUUGCAGAAUUCAGUGAAUCAUCGAGUCUUUGAACGCACAUUGCGCCCCCUGGUAUUCCGGGGGGCAUGCCUGUCCGAGCGUCAUUGCUGCCCUCAAGCACGGCUUGUGUGUUGGGCUUCCGUCCCUGGCAACGGGGACGGGCCCAAAAGGCAGUGGCGGCACCAUGUCUGGUCCUCGAGCGUAUGGGGCUUUGUCACCCGCUCCCGUAGGUCCAGCUGGCAGCUAGCCUCGCAACCAAUCUUUUUAACCAGGUUGACCUCGGAUCAGGUAGGGAUACCCGCUGAACUUAAGCAUAUCGAUAAGCGGAGGA